AGUGAACGCUGGCGGUAGGCCUAACACAUGCAAGUCGAACGGCAGCACAGUAAGAGCUUGCUCUUACGGGUGGCGAGUGGCGGACGGGUGAGGAAUACAUCGGAAUCUACUUUUUCGUGGGGGAUAACGUAGGGAAACUUACGCUAAUACCGCAUCCGACCUACGGGUGAAAGCAGGGGAUCUUCGGACCUUGCGCGAUUGAAUGAGCCGAUGUCGGAUUAGCUAGUUGGCGGGGUAAAGGCCCACCAAGGCGACGAUCCGUAGCUGGUCUGAGAGGAUGAUCAGCCACACUGGAACGGAGCCACGGUCCAGACUCCUACGGGAGGCAGCAGUGGGGAAUAUUGGACAAUGGGGGCAAGCCUGAUCCAGCCGUACCGAGUGGGUGAAGGAGGCCUUCGGGUUGUAAAGCCCUUUUGUUGGGAAAGAACAGCAGCAGGUUAAUACCCCGCUGUUCUGACGGUACCCAAAGAAUAAGCACCGGCUAACUUCGUG
RNAcentral lists this ribosomal RNA (492 nucleotides) under uncultured bacterium. Its description in RNAcentral is "partial 16S ribosomal RNA". It matches the Rfam family "Bacterial small subunit ribosomal RNA", at positions 29 to 507 of the family's 1533-position model. The record is from RNAcentral.